RNAcentral lists this ribosomal RNA (449 nucleotides) under uncultured bacterium. Its description in RNAcentral is "partial 16S ribosomal RNA". It matches the Rfam family "Bacterial small subunit ribosomal RNA", at positions 29 to 523 of the family's 1533-position model. The record is from RNAcentral.
AACGAACGCUGGCGGCAUGCCUAACACAUGCAAGUCGAACGAGAUCUUCGGGUCUAGUGGCGCACGGGUGCGUAGCGCGUGGGAAUCUGCCCUUUGGUUCGGAAUAACAGUUGGAAACGACUGCUAAUACCGGAUGAUGACGAAAGUCCAAAGAUUUAUCGCCAGAGGAUGAGCCCGCGUAGGAUUAGCUAGUUGGUGUGGUAAAGGCGCACCAAGGCGACGAUCCUUAGCUGGUCUGAGAGGAUGAUCAGCCACACUGGGACUGAGACACGGCCCAGACUCCUACGGGAGGCAGCAGUGGGGAAUAUUGGACAAUGGGCGAAAGCCUGAUCCAGCAAUGCCGCGUGAGUGAUGAAGGCCUUAGGGUUGUAAAGCUCUUCUACCCGGGAUGAUAAUGACAGUACCGGGAGAAUAAGCUCCGGCUAACUCCGUGCCAGCCGCCGCAGUAA